CAGCAGUAGGGAAUCUUCCACAAUGGACGCAAGUCUGAUGGAGCAACGCCGCGUGAGUGAAGAAGGGUUUCGGCUCGUAAAGCUCUGUUGUUAAAGAAGAACGUGGGUAAGAGUAACUGUUUACCCAGUGACGGUAUUUAACCAGAAAGCCACGGCUAACUACGUGCCAGCAGCCGCGGUAAUACGUAGGUGGCAAGCGUUAUCCGGAUUUAUUGGGCGUAAAGCGAGCGCAGGCGGUCUUUUAAGUCUAAUGUGAAAGCCUUCGGCUCAACCGAAGAAGUGCAUUGGAAACUGGGAGACUUGAGUGCAGAAGAGGACAGUGGAACUCCAUGUGUA
RNAcentral lists this ribosomal RNA (336 nucleotides) under Pediococcus pentosaceus. Its description in RNAcentral is "bacterial SSU rRNA". It matches the Rfam family "Bacterial small subunit ribosomal RNA", at positions 349 to 677 of the family's 1533-position model. Lineage: Bacteria; Bacillati; Bacillota; Bacilli; Lactobacillales; Lactobacillaceae. The record is from RNAcentral.